UCCUCGGUAGCUCAAUGGUAGAGCGGUUGGCUGUUAACCAAUAGGUUGUAGGUUCGAGUCCUACCCGAGGAGCCA
Molecule: transfer RNA, 75 nt
Filed under: Candidatus Tantalella remota
Lineage: Bacteria; Pseudomonadati; Candidatus Omnitrophota
Description: tRNA-Asn
Rfam family: tRNA
About the family: Transfer RNA (tRNA) molecules are approximately 80 nucleotides in length. Their secondary structure includes four short double-helical elements and three loops (D, anti-codon, and T loops).
Source: RNAcentral